GGUUGAAACAUGCAAAGUCCAUCAUUAGUGAAGUCUGCAAAAGUGUGAAGAUGUAAUUGGAGGCUGGUAAAAUGGAAACCUGUGAUAUGUAAUAGCACAGCAGCUGGUGAAACUUUUAACAGGAAAUUUUAAUGAUCGAAGCUGUAUCGUAAACAUCUGAGUUUGACUCAGAGGAUCUCCAGAGAGGGUGAGCAGAGGAGGGACAGAGGGAGCGUGUCACCCAGAAUGGAGUGGACAACAUGGAGCUCGAUCUCACACCAUGAGAUUAUGAUCCAGACCAAAAUCAAGAGUUGGAUGUUUGAGCCACCCAGGUUUGGCAGAUCCAUCAAGCCAGUUCAUUAAUGCACAGAUGAUUCCUUAACAUUAAGAAAGACACAUUGGAACAUCACAAAUGUCAAGUCAGUUAUUACGCACAAAAAGCAGAAAAUGGCAACCAUCGAAAGGUGAGCCCUAAUUCAGUCGGGACCAAAA
Panthera uncia (snow leopard) is the source of this 471-nucleotide long non-coding RNA. RefSeq lists it as uncharacterized. The transcript has 3 exons. The record is from RefSeq and is a predicted model, not a curated record. NCBI's taxonomy places the organism in Eukaryota, Metazoa, Chordata, Mammalia, Carnivora, Felidae.